This is a long non-coding RNA of Mya arenaria, 504 nucleotides long. RefSeq lists it as uncharacterized. The record is from RefSeq and is a predicted model, not a curated record. NCBI's taxonomy places the organism in Eukaryota, Metazoa, Mollusca, Bivalvia, Myida, Myidae. The transcript is spliced from 3 exons.
CCUUUGGAUGAAAAGCAAAUGAUUUAUCCGGAUUUUGUUCAUCCGAAACUAAAUCACUAGUAUCAACAUCCGGUGUAAUUUUUGCUUGUAUUUUGGAGAAACUCGAUUGAUUUCUAGCAAACUUGGUUUACCACUACUGUACAUCGUCGCUUAUUAUUAUUUGGUUUAUUGCGAGUGUCAUGGAAAGCUGGAACUUUUCAGUACACAACAUGCAAACUGAGAAUGAACUGUGUGUGCCGGCUUUGUGAACAAAAACGCAAGGCGGCUAUGAUACACUGUGUUGUGUGUGGAUAAGAAAUGCAGAGUGGUACCACCAAUUACCUAAGCCACCAUUCCCCUAACAGACAAAAGGCUCAUGGGGACAGUUCCUGCAGUUUACAGCAAAUUGUAGCCCUACAAACUUCAGGUAAGUGAUAAAUCUGGGCUUCAAGAUAUCUCUGUACUCACUUUAAGUUUAUACUUCAUUUGAACAAAACUUACAAUUUCAGCAUCAAAAUCCAGGUU